AAGUGCCCGGCCUCCGCCGACUGCCUCCCCACCCGUCCCGGCUCUCCACCGCCACCACGGAGAGGCGCGAUCGGGGACUCUGAGUCCCGGAGCAGGCUGGGGCCGAGCGGAGAGGCCGGGCUUUGGGGAGGAGGGGCCGCCGCCCAGGCCUGCGAUCAUGACCUCGGCCUCCCCGGGCCGGGCGGGGUCCCGGCGGGCAAGCCUAGUCAGCGCAGGCCGCGGAGCCCGGGCGCAGGGCCGUCAAGCUCCCCGGGAGUCCGGAGAACACACAGCGCGCUGGAGCGCAGAGGCCACACGCCCGGGGCCCGCCUGCGGCCGGACCGUGACCUUGGCCUCGCAAGCACCCCCGUAUUUUUUUUUUUUCCAUGUUUCCCCCUCCCCCCGCCCUGCCGUCUUCUAAAUUGCCUGCCUCGUCGUCGGUGAAGGAGUCGCUCGGGCUGGUGGCGACAGCUCCCCGCUACUCCGCUUGCGCACCUCGCCCUCUCCCGGGUCUCUGGGCCCCCGGUGGGCCCCCGCCUCCCCAGGACCCCAGCUUUGACGCCGCGAGGCCGCCGCAGCAGUGCAGGGUCCUGGCAAUCCGACCGGAGGAUCCACUCAGAAGACUAAAAUCGAGGAACCCCAGGAAAAAGAAUGGGGCCGGUAAAGGCUUUCCCCAAAUAUAUACCCUUCGAGAGUCGCCGGUUUAUUUAUACUAAAAAGUGCUGAACCCCUUCCUUCGUCGUGUUUAUUAUGAAGCAGGCAGUCCUGCAGAGGCAGGGAAGCGCUUUCUUUGAACAAAAACAAAAUGCGAAGACUCGACUCUGGAGCCUUCAACACUGGGAGCCAAACAGCGCCGUCCAAAUCAGAUCUUACUUAAAAAGAAAGGAAGGAAGGAAGGAAGAAAGAAAGGGAAGAGAAGAAAGAAAAGGAAAGAAAAGAGAAGGAAAGAGAAAAAAAAGGAGAAAAAAGAAAAGACAAAAGAAAAGGAAAAAGAAAAGGAAAGCAAAGAAAAGGGAAAAAAAUCUCCGCCUGGAGAGUCAGCAGAAAUACUGUUACCCUCCCCGUGAGCAACAAACCGUUUAUCAAAAACGCCUUCCCCAUCCCCCACCUGCUCUUUGCCAUUACUACAAACUCUUUGCUCCAUUAUCUUACACUUGAGCAGAAAAUCGUUAGAAAUAUUUGGAAACGAAAUAAUGUGUCACUAUCCUUCGAAAAAAGGCUAAAAAUAGCACCCAAGCUGACUUAA
Herpailurus yagouaroundi (jaguarundi) is the source of this 1225-nucleotide long non-coding RNA. RefSeq lists it as uncharacterized. The transcript is spliced from 2 exons. Lineage: Eukaryota; Metazoa; Chordata; Mammalia; Carnivora; Felidae. The record is from RefSeq and is a predicted model, not a curated record.